GCCGGUGCGAUUCCGGCACAGUCCCGCUACGGUGAACCGUCGCCCAGCGACGGAAGUCCGG
This 61-nucleotide non-coding RNA is filed under the name Chloroflexota bacterium. Lineage: Bacteria; Bacillati; Chloroflexota. The record is from RNAcentral.